ACGAACGCUGGCGGCAAGCCUAACACAUGCAAGUCGAACGCCCGUGGCAACACGGGAGUGGCGGACGGGUUAGUAACGCGUGGGAACGUACCCAGCAGUAUGGAAUAACCGCGGGAAACUGCGGCUAAUACCGUAUACGCCCUUCGGGGGAAAGAUUUAUCGCUGUUGGAUCGGCCCGCGUCCGAUUAGCUAGUUGGCGAGGUAACGGCUCACCAAGGCUAUGAUCGGUAGCUGGUCUGAGAGGACGAUCAGCCACACUGGGACUGAGACACGGCCCAGACUCCUACGGGAGGCAGCAGUGGGGAGUAUUGGACAAUGGGGGCAACCCUGAUCCAGCUAUGCCGCGUGGGUGAUGAAGGCCUUCGGGUUGUAAAGCCCUUUUGGCGGGGACGAUAAUGACGGUACCCGCAGAAUAAGCCCCGGCUAACUUCGU
Molecule: ribosomal RNA, 433 nt
Filed under: uncultured bacterium
Lineage: Bacteria
Description: bacterial SSU rRNA
Rfam family: Bacterial small subunit ribosomal RNA
Source: RNAcentral